AUUGAACGCUGGCGGCAUGCCUUACACAUGCAAGUCGAACGGCAGCGCGGGGCAACCUGGCGGCGAGUGGCGAACGGGUGAGUAAUAUAUCGGAACGUGCCCUGGAGUGGGGAUAACGUAGCGAAAGUUACGCUAAUACCGCAUACGAUCCAAGGAUGAAAGCAGGGGGACCUUCGGGCCUUGUGCUCCUGGAGCGGCCGAUAUCUGAUUAGCUAGUUGGUGGGGUAAAAGCCUACCAAGGCGACGAUCAGUAGCUGGUCUGAGAGGACGACCAGCCACACUGGAACUGAGACACGGUCCAGACUCCUACGGGAGGCAGCAGUGGGGAAUUUUGGACAAUGGGGGGCAACCCUGAUGGAGCAACGCCGCGUGUGUGAUGAAGGUUUUCGGAUCGUAAAGCACUUUCGACCGGGACGAAAAACCUCUGGCUAACAUCCAGGGGCCUGACGGUACCGGGAGAAGAAGCACCGGCUAACUCUGUGCCAGCAGCCGCGGUAAU
This 499-nucleotide ribosomal RNA is filed under the name uncultured bacterium. RNAcentral describes it as "bacterial SSU rRNA". It matches the Rfam family "Bacterial small subunit ribosomal RNA", at positions 29 to 524 of the family's 1533-position model. The record is from RNAcentral.